Molecule: ribosomal RNA, 497 nt
Filed under: uncultured bacterium
Lineage: Bacteria
Description: partial 16S ribosomal RNA
Rfam family: Bacterial small subunit ribosomal RNA
Source: RNAcentral
GAUGAACGCUGGCGGCGUGCCUAAUACAUGCAAGUCGAGCGAACAGACGAGGCUCUUGCUGCUUUGUCGUUUGCGGCGGAGGGGUGAGUAACACGUGGAUCACGCCCCUAUCAUACUGGGAAAACCUCGGGAAACCGGCGCUAAUCCCGGAUAAUAUACUGAAGCGCAGGGGUCAAUAGUGAAAUACGGUUUUGGUGUCACUUCUCGCUGCUUCCCGGCUGGUUUAGCUAGUUGGUAAGGAAACGGCUUACCAGGGCGAGGAUGCGUAGCCGACCUGAGAGGGUGAUCGGCCACCUGGGAGCGGAGACGCGGACCAUGCGCCUGCGGGAGGCAGCAGUAGGGAAUCGGCCGCAGUAGGCGGAAACCUUACGGAACGGCGCCACGUGAGUGGUGAAGGUCUUCGGAUCGGGAAACUCUGUUUUUGGGGAAGAACAAAUGUGGAAGGAGCUAUGCACUUAUUGACGGUACCUAAUCAAGAAGCCACGGCUAACUACGUG